This 484-nucleotide ribosomal RNA is filed under the name uncultured bacterium. RNAcentral's name for it is "partial 16S ribosomal RNA". It matches the Rfam family "Bacterial small subunit ribosomal RNA", at positions 30 to 507 of the family's 1533-position model. The record is from RNAcentral.
AUUGAACGCUGGCGGCAGGCCUAACACAUGCAAGUCGAGCGGAUGAAGGGAGCUUGCUCCUGGAUUCAGCGGCGGACGGGUGAGUAAUGCCUAGGAAUCUGCCUGGUAGUGGGGGAUAACGUCCGGAAACGGGCGCUAAUACCGCAUACGUCCUGCGGGAGAAAGUGGGGGAUCUUCGGACCUCACGCUAUCAGAUGAGCCUAGGUCGGAUUAGCUAGUUGGUGGGGUAAAGGCCUACCAAGGCGACGAUCCGUAACUGGUCUGAGAGGAUGAUCAGUCACACUGGAACUGAGACACGGUCCAGACUCCUACGGGAGGCAGCAGUGGGGAAUAUUGGACAAUGGGCGAAAGCCAGAUCCAGCCAUGCCGCGUGUGUGAAGAAGGUCUUCGGAUUGUAAAGCACUUUAAGUUGGGAGGAAGGGCAGUAAGUUAAUACCUUGCUGUUUUGACGUUACCAACAGAAUAAGCACCGGCUAACUUCGUG